Molecule: ribosomal RNA, 253 nt
Filed under: uncultured bacterium
Lineage: Bacteria
Description: partial 16S ribosomal RNA
Rfam family: Bacterial small subunit ribosomal RNA
Source: RNAcentral
UACAGAGGGUGCAAGCGUUGUUCGGAAUUAUUGGGCGUAAAGCGCGUGUAGGCGGCUUUGCAAGUCGGGUGUGAAAGCCCUCAGCUUAACUGAGGAAGUGCGCCUGAAACUUCAGAGCUUGAGUACCGGAGAGGAUGGCGGAAUUCCCCAAGUAGAGGUGAAAUUCGUAGAUAUGGGGAGGAACACCGGUGGCGAAGGCGGCCAUCUGGACGGAUACUGACGCUGAGACGCGAAAGCGUGGGUAGCAAACAGG